UCCAAGCCUUUAAGUUAUUCUUCAUUUUCUUAAUACACCAAAGCCAACAACACACAACCCAAAAUGAUUAACCCUAGCCGCUUGAAGAAACCAGCGAGAACAUAGCUGACAAAAGCCAUUUCUGGAUAAGAUUCCAAGUGCUUUCAGUGACCAAGCCUUUGCUUCCCCGAUUUGGGCAAGGAAAUUUAUUGUUUUGUCAUCUUCUUCAGCCCGAAUGGUAACCUGCAAUUUCCCUUUACUUUUCUUCAAAUCAUUCAAUUUUUUUCGUUUUUUCUUUUCCAUUAAGAUUCAGAUUUCAAACAAUCCUUGAAAAAAUUUCAAUUUGAAGUCCGUGUUGCAUUUGUCCCACAUCGUUUGAAAAGCUCAAACGCUAGCAUUUGGGGUUCUUUAAAAGAACCCCAUUGUCUCCAUUCAGAGGAGAGGAUGACACACCAUCACUCAGCUAAAAGACAUUCUGAGUCUAAGCUUUGAGUUUUGUUUGGUGUUCUGUAGUUCAAACUUUGAUGUUUGUUUUUUUCCGUCAUCGAGUCUGAGUGUCUAUUGGCAAGAAGCUAAAAUGAAGUUCGUCUGUGAAGUUCGAAGGUGAUUCGCUUCUUUCGUCACCCCCGUCGCUACUCAGCAAAAAGGCAUGAAAAUCCCGAGACGAGUCCAACUGGACUUAUGCAUUUUCCUCCGCAUUACCUCGUUGGGUCGGAAACCCAAUAUUACAUUAGAUUGAGUCAGACCACACACAUUAAAGGCCCAAUCAUGAGUAAAAAUGACAACUAGUGAGCUUCGGUAGACGCACUAGCCUAAACCUUUCUUCCUUAUUUUUACAAGUCGUAUUUAUGUAUGUAUUGUAAAAUGCUAUGUAAAUAUUGGAAGCUAUAUGAUUGGAACUUAGUUGAA
Long non-coding RNA from Lycium barbarum (goji berry), 888 nucleotides. RefSeq lists it as uncharacterized. The record is from RefSeq and is a predicted model, not a curated record. The transcript has 2 exons. NCBI's taxonomy places the organism in Eukaryota, Viridiplantae, Streptophyta, Magnoliopsida, Solanales, Solanaceae.